ACAGAGGGUGCGAGCGUUAAUCGGAAUUACUGGGCGUUAAGCGCACGCAGGCGGAUCGUUAAGUCAGGGGUGAAAUGCCGAGGCUCAACCUCGGAACUGCCUUUGAUACUGGCGAUCUUCGAGUCCGGGAGAGGUGAGUGGAACUCCGAGUGUAGAGGUGAAAUUCGUAGAUAUUCGGAAGAACACCAGUGGCGAAGGCGGCUCACUGGCCCGGUACUGACGCUCAGGUGCGAAAGCGUGGGGAGCAAACAGGA
This 254-nucleotide ribosomal RNA is filed under the name uncultured prokaryote. RNAcentral describes it as "partial 16S ribosomal RNA". It matches the Rfam family "Bacterial small subunit ribosomal RNA", at positions 525 to 777 of the family's 1533-position model. The record is from RNAcentral.